This 1401-nucleotide long non-coding RNA is filed under the name Gossypium barbadense (sea-island cotton). RNAcentral describes it as "long non-coding RNA (GBAR_LNC006199)". Lineage: Eukaryota; Viridiplantae; Streptophyta; Magnoliopsida; Malvales; Malvaceae. The record is from RNAcentral.
GGAACUAAAAAUGCAAAUUUCCCAAGUCCCAAAAUGCUGCACCUAAACGCGGACUAAACUGAAAUGACACGCAAAUUUUAGGGAUAAAUUUAAAGAAUCUAAGAAAGCAUAAGCAAGGCCCAAUUAAUCACUAUCGCAAAAGGGGGGACUUAACACAUAAAUUACCCAUUUUGGGUCAAAUGUGUGGGCCCAGCACCAAAUGGUGCUGUUUUAAACGUAUUGUAAAAGCUAAAAAGAAAGAAACCCCCCUCCCAAACAGCAGCCUUGCAGAUUAUCUUCAAGAAAAUUCAAAACCCCCUUUCACCCUCUGUUAGGGAUUCGCCUCUGCUUUGAGAUGCCGCGCACGAGGGUCAUCGGGGCUUCUGCGCCUCCACCUCUGACGACGAACCACGGGGUAAGGCCAGGUAAGCCUCUUCUUCCCCGAUUUUGAUGCAAAAGCAGUUUGCAAGGAAAAGAAAGCAAGAAAAACAAAAAGAAAAAGAAAUACAAAAUGGAAAAGAAUAAAGAACAACCUUCUAGGCAUUCAAUCUGAUUUUUUAUUGAUAUCAAUUACUCUUGCACGUUCUGCUAUUGUGUAUAUCCAAAAAUCGGGAGCAAAAAAAAAAAUCCCUUUACACUUGAUUCAAUUUGGCUUUUAUAGCCAAUUUUUCAACUUCUUUUGCUUGUUUGCAGGUACGUGCUAGGUGUGGACUCUGACGUGGAGGUAGAGUGGUGCACGAUGCGGAGAGUUGCGUGACAUGCGGUGCCUGGGGACUGCCUCGGUUGCAAAUGAUGGCUCCUAGAUUUUUUGUAAUCUGUUUGUGUUUUUGGGCUGUUUGGGCCAUGUUUGUAAAUGGGUACUUAGGUUUGGGCCUACUUAGCUUCUAGUGGUUUGGGCCGGGUAAAUUUUGGGCCCUACACCCAUCAUUCUUGUAACACUCCUUACCUAUAUCCGUUGUUGGAAAGGGUUUCAGAGCAUUAUCGAUGUUCACCGAUCAAACAGACAUAAAUUUCAAACUGUAACACCCCAAACCCGGCUUGGACAGUAUGGUUGAAUCUGGCGAUGUCACACGAGAGUGUUUUUGAAAACACAUUGACCUUAAAAUCGUUCCAAUUACUAACUUUACUUAGUUCUAGAAAACAUAUUUUAAUUGAUUUGAUUUAAAAAAUUUCUUUUGCGUGGAAGCUUUUGAAAACCCUAUAAAAUUUUUGGAAGCCGUCUCGUGUACGAAAACAUUAGCUUUUAGGAAAAGCGAGUUUAGUAUAAAAACCCAAAAACCGUUCAAAAAUCAAAAUAAAGUCCAUAAAGGUCCAAAUUACAUCAACCAACUCGAAACAUAAUUAAAAAGAAAUAAUUACCGGAACUGAAUUUAAAACAGUCUAAAUAUGUGUGGCCACCGUCGAGUCCUCCGUUGUACCGAA